Molecule: ribosomal RNA, 477 nt
Filed under: uncultured bacterium
Lineage: Bacteria
Description: partial 16S ribosomal RNA
Rfam family: Bacterial small subunit ribosomal RNA
Source: RNAcentral
GAUGAACGCUGGCGGCGUGCCUAAUACAUGCAAGUCGAGCGAACAGACGAGGAGCUUGCUCCUCUGACGUUAGCGGCGGACGGGUGAGUAACACGUGGAUAACCUACCUAUAAGACUGGGAUAACUUCGGGAAACCGGCGCUAAUACCGGAUAAUAUAUUGAACCGCAUGGUUCAAUAGUGAAAGACGGUUUUGCUGUCACUUAUAGAUGGAUCCGCGCCGCAUUAGCUAGUUGGUAGGGUAACGGCUUACCAAGGCGACGAUGGGUAGCCGGCCUGAGAGGGGGGACGGCGACAAUGGGACUGAGAUACGGACCAGACGACUACGGGAGGCAGCAGUGGGGAAGAUGGCACAAUGGGCGCAAGCCGGAGGCAGCGAAGAAGCGUGGGGGAUGACGGCCUUCGGGUGGUAAACACCUUUCGCUAGGGACGAAGCGCAAGUGACGGUACCUGGAGAAGAAGCACCGGCUAACUACGUG